Molecule: long non-coding RNA, 16067 nt
Filed under: Vitis vinifera (wine grape)
Lineage: Eukaryota; Viridiplantae; Streptophyta; Magnoliopsida; Vitales; Vitaceae
Description: long non-coding RNA (VVIN_LNC003333)
Source: RNAcentral
UUGUUUUGGGAUAUAUGUGGUUCCACCCCACUUCUCAGAUUUGAAAAUGCCGGUUGUUUUGGAGAAGGUAAACGUACACUUUCAUUGCCAAGCAUUGAGACAACAUCAGACAUGGUAGGCCUAUCAUCUGCACUUUCUUGAACACAAAGAAGGCCUAUAUUGAUGUACCUCAGCAGAAUGUGUGUUGGCAAUGUCUCUUCCAACCCUGGAUCCAUCAACUCCUGCCCUCUACUGUCUUUCCACAGAUCCCAUGCCUAAAUGAAGAAAAUUAUCCAUUGAUGCAAAUUCUCAAAAUGUAAAAGAUAAUAAAGUCCUUUUUAUAUCAGCCAACAAUAUAAAAUAAGCUUUGAAACUGAGUGGUAGACAUAAUGUGAAAAAUUUACCAGCAGCCUAAGACAACUAGAUAGGUAAUAUAACAAGGGAAUUGAAAACUAGGAAUUAGCAUAUCAAAACAUCAUAAAUAGUUAUGUUAGUGAAUAAAUAUUGUGUUACUCACAUAUCCAAGAAGAUUGAGCGAGUCGGUUUGGUAAAAUCCAGUAUUCUUCUUGCCACUCAAAAUCUCCAGUAACAAGACCCCAAAGCUAAAGACAUCAGAUUUAGUGGAGAAAAGACCUUCCAAAGCAUACUCAGGGGACAUAUAGCCGCUGGAUUUGAUUAUUAAUGAGAAAAAUCAUUCAAUAGCUGCAUGAUUUCAAAUGUUGUAUGAACAUUCAUAUAUUUUAUAAUUUGUCAGGUUUCACUUACUAAGUCCCAACUAUAUGAUUUGUUGCUUUUGAUUCGUUGCCUCCAAAUAUUCUUGCCAUUCCAAAAUCUGAUAUUUGAGGAUUCAUAUCCUUAUCCAGAAGAAUGUUGCUAGCCUUCAAAUCUCGAUGAAUAAUCCUCAAUCUGGAGUACUGAUGUAGAUAAAGAAGUCCCUGAGCAACCCCUUUAAUGAUGUGAACCCGUGUCUUCCAAUUCAGAAUCCCAUGUUUUGUAGGAUCUAUCUCCAUUUUACACCAAAUAAAUACAAACUUAUGUUAGCAAAUAAGUGGUGAAUAAUAAUGAAUGUCUUUUAUUGAAUACACAAUAGCCAGAAGUUCAGAUAUGUAGAAGUUACAAACCAAAUAGGAAGAAAUCCAAGCUUUUGUUGGGCAUAUACUCAUAAAUCAAUAUCUUCUCAUCUUUCUCAAUGCAGUAGCCGAACAGCUUCACAAGAUUCUUAUGUUGCAGCUUGGCUAUGAGCAUGACCUCAUUUUUUAACUCCUCCCAUCCCUGUCCAGAUCUUUUUGAAAGCCUCUUCACAGCUACCUCAUACCCUUUUUGUGACUUUCCCUAUCAUGGGAAUUUCGGCUGAGUACAAUUACAUCAAGUAAAAGAAAAUUUGUAUUUUCCUAGUGGGCCUCUACAGUUAAGGGCAGAUUGUAGAACAGUCAGAAGAAUUUUCACAUUUCUUUUCUGAAAGGCAUUGCUGUUAAUGGAACGAAUCUCACCUUGUAAACAGGUCCAAAACCACCCUCUCCUAGUUUAUUUUCAAUAGAGAAGUUAUUGGUAGCAGCAGAUACACUCGCAAAACUGAACAUUGGCAAAUCAACUUCCUUCUUCUCGCCGCUCCAAAGUUUACUUGUCUCACUAAGUUCAUAGUUGGUAUCUACUGAGCUGUUACUUAAAUCAAAUAGUAACAAAUUUUCCCCUGCUUGAUAAAGAAGAAACAGAUGUUAAGUAUCAUAAGAAUGUAGGAAUUCUGGAAUGGGAAUAAACUGUCUCAUUAUUGAUUUUAAUCACACUGUAGUGCCUGGUACACACUCACAUGUAAUCAGGAGAUUGAAAUCCUAGUAAGGCCUUGAUUAUUCUACAACAAUGGUAAUGAACUCAUUGCAGAAAAGAAAUGGUUUUGUAUGUGUAGAUGGAAUCUAAAUGCCCUUGAAUUGCUUGAUAAUCUUCUAUCCAUGAAAAAUACUGACCUUUUCUUCUUAGCCUUCUCCGUAUCCCCCAAAUGACAAAGGCUGAAGUUACGGAAAUAGCCAGUGUAACAAUUAGCCAUACCUUCCACUUGCUGCUUGAAACUGCAAAAAGAAAUAAAUGUAACUAAUCUUUGAUGAACUUCAUCUUAUAUUUAAGAAAAAGAAAAUCAUAUGCUCUGUCCUACAAAAAAAGUUUGACCAUUCCCUACUUUUAUUACCUUUCCCACUUAGCUCAGAGGCCGCAAGUUUGAGAUAGAAAUCUUGACCAUUACUGUUGUCAUCUGAUAGCUGUUGCAAGUUUAGAAGAUCUCCACCCCAUACUGUACACUUCUCCAUGUAGUAAGAAUAAGCAGAGCAAGAGCAGUUAUUUAGGCAAUCUGACUCGCACUGCAUGGCACCACUCGUUGGGAGUGUUAGUGGAUAAUCUGGCAGCCUCACAUUAGACACCCGAUAAAACUGGUCUCUCUCCCCAUUAUCAUGAGUACUAUUGCCACACUGCAAAUCUGCUUUCCUCACACACCCUCCAGAUGUGUCGUUCAAGUUCCAGUUAUUAGGGAAGCCAGGUUCAAAACCUGGCAAACAUUCACAGAAUCUAUCGACUGCAUGGUCAUGACAGAUUCCAAAAGGCCCACAGUAAGCAUAAACCUCACAUUGCGUUUUUGGUUGAAACCAAAACAUAUGCCAUUGAUGAGAGGCUUCAAGCCAUGACAUUUGUUUAAUCUGCCCUGACACAUCCAGCACGAAUCUGCAUAUUUUUGAAGAAUUAUAAAUAGAGUAAUUGAUAUAGCUCUCCUCCUUACUAAACGAAUAACUGAAAUUAAACACCUCGUUUAAGCGCAUCUCACUAAUCAAGCUGAAAGCCUGCCCAUCCCUGUCCCAGGUGCCACUAGCCCAGUACAUUGUGGACCCUUGCAAGAUAAAAAUCUGGCCGCUUCCCUUAGGGUCGUACUUCAUGGAGAAAACUCCUGGACUGGGAUCUUCUGUGCUCUUCCAUGACACUAAUGACCAUGUUUUUCCAGCCCUUUUGUCGUAUCCAAGUUUCAUCCCCGGCAAGAAAGUGUCCGAUGGAUAGUCAAAGCUCUGCCAUAAGAUACUCGAGUUGUUAUUUCUCAAAACAAGAUUGCCAGAAUCCAACAGGGUGGCACUAGUUUUGCUGUUUGAUGAUAUGCUUGUCACCCUGUAUGAAAUUUUCCCCUCCCAAACCUCGAGGUUACCAUCUGUCCUGACAGUAAGAACCACAGACGGAUCUGUGAAUGAAUAAUCUCGGUUAGCUACCCACACAAUGGUUGGCUCUGAUACUUUCUUGUACCAUAUCCCCACAUAGUAUUUUGUGGAGUUUCCAGGAGAAAAGAAUCCUAAUUCAAAUUCACCACCCGCAGAUAUGAUGGUCUGAGAGGUUGUGAUUGAUUGACCUUGUGAGAUUGUAUCUGUAAAUGCAUCAGCAAAUUCCAAGUGAAAACCUGAAGAAAUAAGCAAGAAAACAAGAAUAACAGACCACCAACUGGUUGAAAAUUUCAUGCUAGCCAUAACUCAUAAGCAGCGUUUAAGCAGCCCGCCGAUAAACUUAUAGCCAUCCUAAACAGGCAGUAGCAUAUCUGAGGUCCGGCGACUCGGUCAAAGUCUCCUUUCCACCGAUCUCCUUUCCAAUAUAUCUUUCAGGAAAAUUAUAGGGUACUGUGAGGUAGGUACAGAAGAAUAUCUUGGGCCAUUGGAUGUGAUCUUCAACAUUCAUCUUCAAUUUUGGUAAACAAAAAAAAAGAAAAAACAUAUAUAUAUAUAUAUAUAUAUAUAUAUAUAUAUAUAUAUAUAUAUAUAUAUAUAUAUAGAUACAUAUAGCAAGGUAGUUCUCUUUCUUUAGAUUCAUGAUCCUAGCUGACAUAGAAGAUAUCAUAAACUCUUUGGCAGGAAAGAGCUCUUUUGGAUGUUACUGGUUUUCAAUACCCUCUCAUUACGUCCUCAAGGAUGAAAAUAUCGAUAAUCACGGAUAUAUCGGUAACUUGAUUUUAUGGAUAUAUCGGAUAAAUAUCGACGGAUAUUUUGGAAAAAAAUUUUUGUAGACAAAAAAUUGAUCAAAACUCAUGAAAAUGUAAGAAAAACCUCAUAACAAUGUAAUUAGAAGUAUAAUAAACAAUUUAAAUUUGUUUUGUUGAAGAAUUUGAUAUAUAUAUAUAUAUAUUAUAUGAUAUGCGAUAUUAGAUGUAAUUAUAUUAUGUGGGUUGAUAAAAAAUAUGAAUUUUGUAAUUGUACACUCAUUAUCAAGUUCAUGAAAGACUUGAUUUCAUUAAAUAUCAAUAAUUUGUACAAAUUAUCACAUAGCCGUUGGAGUUGAACUUUGACCGUUGGAUCACAUCCAGCUUCAAUUUGGACCAUCAGAUGCAUAUGAGUCAUGAUUUGUUUCCAUUUUCUUUUUUAUCUUUACUAAAUCUAAAAUGCUUUUAUUCAAAAAUGUUUUAUUAUAUUUUAAAUAAAAAAUUAAAUUAAUUUAUAUAAAAUAUUUUAUUUGAUAUUUAAUUUCUAAAAUUUUAUUAAAAUGUGGUAACAACUUUUUAUAUCAAUAUUAAUUUAUUUAAAAACAUUAAAAAAAAUAGAUAUAAAUAAAAAAAAAAUUGAUAUAAAAUUUUUAAAAUAUAUUUAUCCAUAAAAAUAAAAAUUUCUUCACAUGCCGCAAUUGCAUUAUUUUAUUUUUAAAAUAUAAAAUAGUUUUCUUAUUUAAAAAGCUAUAAGUGCAAAUCAUUUUGUACAAAAUUUUAAAAAUUUAAAUUCCAGAUAAAAAUCAGUAUGAUAAUGUUUUAACAUGUUUUGAAUUGUUUACAAUGUGUUAGGAUUCACUUACUAAGUCACAACCAUAUGUUUUGUUCAUGUUCUUAUCCAGAAGAAUGUUGAUAGUCUUCAAAUCUCGAUGAAUAAUUCUCAAUCUAGAGUACUAAUGGAGAUAAAGAAGUCCCUGAGCCACCCCUUGAAUGAUGUGAACCCAUGCCUUCCAAUUCAAUACUGGAUCCAUCAAGUCCAGCCCUAUGUUGUUUUUCCACAUAUCCCAUGCCUAAAGGAAAGAAAAUGUUCUUUUGAUGCAAAUUUCCAAAGAAGAAAAACAGAUGUAUAGUCCUUUUUAUUGCAUGCAAAGAACUUCAACUUAAAAUUGACUAGUAAAUCAAGAAUUAGUAUAUUAGAACAUUGUAGAUUGUGUUACUCACAUAUCUAAGAAGACUGAGUGAGUCACUUUGGUAAAAUGUAGUAUUCUUUUUGCCUCUUAGAAUCUCCCGUAACAAGACCCUGAAGCUAAAGACAUCUGAUUUAGUUGAAAAUAGGCCUUCCAAAGCAUAUUCAAGGGACAUGUAGCUAGCCACUAAAUUUCAUUAUUAGAACAAAUUAUUUAGUGGUUGCUUUGUAACAAAAAUGUAUAUAUAUAUAUAAAAAAAAAAAAGAAAGGCCAUGUUGUGUGAGAAUUCACAUAUUUUACACUUUGCAAGGAUUCACUUACCAAGUCUCAAUUAUAUUAUUUGUUGCUAUCAACUAAUUUUCUCCAAAAAUUCUUGCCAAUCCAAAAUCUGAUAUUUUGGGUUCAUGUCCAUAUCCAAAAGAAUGUUGCUAGCCUUCAAAUCUCAAUGAAUAACCCUCAAUCUGGAGUACUGAUGGAGAUAAAGAAAUCCCUGAGCAACCCCUUCAAUUAUGUGAAUGUGUGUUUCCCAGUCCAAAAUCCCAUGUCUUGUAGGAUCCAUCCCAAUUUUACACCAAAUAAAUACAAACUAGUGUCAGUAAAUAAGAGGCCAACAACAAUGAAUGAAAAAAGCUUUUUAUUGAGCAUAGGAUAAACAAAAGUUUAGAUAUGUUGAGAAGUACAAACCAAAAGGAAGAAAUCUAAACUUUUAUUAGCCAUAUACUCAUAAACCAGUAUCUUCUCAUCUAGUUCAAUGCAACAACCCAAAAGUCUAACAAGAUUCUUAUGUUGGAGCUUGGCUAUAAGCAUGGCUUCAUUUUUUAACUCCUCCCAUCCCCGUUCUUAUCGUUUUGAAAGUCUUUUCACAACUACCCUCAUAUUGUCUUUGUUAUUUUCCCUAUCAUUAUGGUUGAAAGUUGCGGUAUCGAUCAUUGACUUGAGAGAUCUUAACACACAUCGAUCUUGGGGUUAAAGUUUCCAUAACUUCUUCUAGAGUUAUAUUCCACCUUCAAAGAGAAAGAAUCAUAGCUUCCACUCUCUCUUCAUCCAUUCCCACUAAAAGUGCAUUAAGAUCAAGGUUCAAGUCAUCGAACAAAAAAUUGUAGAUUUACAAGACUUCCAACAACUUCGAAGUCAUCUUCAAAUCCCCAAUUCUCAUGCACCAACUACCAACCUUUCUUCAAAUCCCUAACUCACCCAUACUAGAGAGAGAGAGAGAGAAAGAGAGAGGAAGGCAGACAAAAGCAGGCGAGAAUUGAGACCAAAAUUAGAGAGAUGAGGGACCAAAUGCAGUGAUGGCCGCUCAUGUCAAUGAAGGGGAUCUUCUUAUCACACCAAUCACCACAACAGGACCAUUGAAGACGCUCCACAUCCAUGAUCGUUCUGAAGUUAGUGAUACCAUAACCUCUUCUUCUUAUGCACCUCCAAGACUCAAUCAUGGGUUAGAUUGAUGUCUUUCUUCCUCUUCAUCAUGGUUAUUGAGAAACUUUUCCUUUUGAUGACAAUCUUUGAUUUUUUUAGAGGUUUUUUUGGUUUACAUCUCCUUUGUUGUUCCUCUAUUGUGAUUUGAAAGUGAAAAAAUGAUUUCUUUUGUUAACUUGAAUGGUUCAACCGAGUCAACUCGGAAGCUCCAUUGAGAUAACCGAGUUUAAGCGAUUCCUGAUUGAGUAUGAGUCUAUACGACUCAGCUAAGUAGUACUGGACUCGGCUUGUUCUUGAAUCGAUAGAAUUAAAGGAAUGCUUGGUGAAGGGAUAUGGUGUCUCCAUUUAUUUAAUUUAAUUGAUUACUUAUUUUUGGAUUGCAAAAUAAUCGUGUUAUUAUUUAUAUGAAAUAUUGAAUGAGUUUUGGGACAUUUAAGGGCAAGAGUACUAAGUAGAUUAAUUAUUUUUAAUUAAAUUCAAAACAAUCUUAAUUUGAAAGUUAUUUGAAUGGGAAAUAUAUUUAGGAACUAGUAAAAAGAAAAUUCUUUAAAUUUGAUCCUUCUCAAAUAAUUGAAAAAUAUCUUUUUUCUCGGAAAAUACUCAUAAGUAGAAAAUUUAUCUCAAAAUUAGAAAUUGAAGAACUUAGGGGCACAUAUUUUAAUUAAACAUGUCAAUUUCAAUUAAAAUAAAAAUAAAUAAAUAAAAUAUAGAAAAGGCGAUAAGUGGAUAGUGAUAGAUCUGUGUUGACAGUAACAACCACAGAUGGAUUUGUGAAUGAAUAGUCUCGGUUAGCUACCCACACAAUGGUUUGCUUUGAGAUUUUCUUGUACCAUAUCCCCACAUAAUAUUUUGUGGACUUUCUAGGAGAAAAGAAUCCUAAUUCAAAGUUACCAGCAACAAAUAUAAUGGUAUGAGAGGUUGUGAGUGAUUGACCUUGUAAGAUUGUAUCUAUAAAGGCCUCAACAAAUUGCCAGUGAAAACUUGAAGAAAUAAGCAAGAAAACAAGAUUAACAGUGUAACGCUCAAGUAUUUUUUUUUUAAGGGUAAUUUAGGAAAUUACUAAUAAUAAUUAAAUUAGUUAAUUAAUUAAUUUAAUAAAGUGGAAGAGGGGUAAAAGUGUAAUUUUACGAAUAAAUACCCUAAGUAUAAAUUAGAAAUUCUAUUUCUUCCUGUUCUUUUAUGAAUAGAGUUCAUGUUCGCAGAAUUUUAGAGAACGUAGGUUGGAGUCAGAUUUCAGGGUUGAAGAACAGAUCUCUAUAGGUAAGAUUCUAACCCCUAGUUUAAUAUUUUAGAUUCAUUGAUUAAUUUCAAACACAUUAGAUAUCUUUUGGAAAACCCAAAUCUAGAUUAGGGUUAGUUUUUUUUUUUUUUUUUAAUUCGUUUUAAUAUCAAUAGUAAAAAAAUAAAAAUUUAAGAUUUUGAUUUAUUGUUGGUAUUUGGGAGAUCUUAAGUUUUAUUAGAUGAAAAAAAAAAAAAGGUUCCUUGGAAGGUUUCGAUUUUAUAUUAGGGUUAAUUCUAUUUUUUUUAAAAGUAAAUAAAUAUAUUGUUAUUUGUGGUGGAAGGGAUUAGAAAAAAUUAAUAAAAAGAAAAAAUAAAUAAAUAAAUAAGAAAAGAAGAGAACACGUGUGCACAGUACUGGAACAAAGAAUAGAAAAAAAAAACAAGAGACGCGUGUGCACACUAGAAGGAAGGAAAAAAAAACAGGUGGGGCGUGACAGUGCUAUGGAGGCUUUUAUAUAUAUAUAUAUAAUGAAUCAUCAUUAGGCAAAAAAAAAAAACUUGUUUUUUGGUGUGUACCCGAGAUGAGUAAUGGUUGGGUGGCUAUUGAAUUGGAUAAUUAAAAAAAUAAUGAUAUUUAGUUUUAGAUUAAUAAAUAAGAUAAGAGUAAUAAUGGUCUUUUUGUAAUAAAUAGAAUGAGAGAUUUAGCAAUAUAUAUAUAUAGAAUUUUAUAAUAAAAUAAAAUUGUAAUUUAAUUAAAUUAGUAAUGUGUUAUUAGAAACAAAUUGAGAAUUUAUUAAUUUUAUUUAAAUAAGGAAUAGAUUAGUUAAAUUAUAGAUAAAUAGUAAUAAUUAUUUCUCUUAUGUUAUAUUAGGAGAAUAGUAGAUUUUUCCAGAAUUAUUUUUCUCUCAAGCUUUCAAGGUCUUUGCAUAAUUUGAGGUAAGGGAAGUUAAUGCAAUAUUUAUAAAAUUAACUUAUUUUAUAUGUUAUUUUGAAUUGUGGAAAAGAAAAUGAUAUUUUGUUACCAUGCAUGGAUCAAACUGUUUUGCACUAAAUAUUAUGUUGGAAUAUUUUGUUUUAUUUAUGACACAAAAUAUGGAGAUAUUACGUUGUGUAAAUUUGAAUACUUGAACAAAAACAUCACUCUGGUUUAUUUGGCCCUUGUCAACGGGAUAUAAUAGUUGACUAUUCGGCCCUGUCAACGGGAUAUAAUAGUUGACCUUUACAUUUCAUGGUGGGAAUGUAAUUGAUUUGGACCCCAGCCUCUAGGGGUUUGGUUAGAGGUUACUAGUACUAGUAGUGUUUGGUUCUAUCUACCAGGAACAAUUUGAGGCUAGCCACCCAUUUGAAAAGUCCCACCUAACUGGGUAUUUGAUAUUUGAUAACCAGAGUAAUGAAAAUUGAAUGGAUUUGAUUGAAUCUUAUGUGAAAGUGUUUGAAUUUGAUAUGAAAAUGGUUGGUUGAAAUUAGGAAUGGCAAUUUCGCGGGUUUUUCGGGUCACCCACCCCUUCCCGCCCUGAUUAGAACGGGUAUGGGAGCAUAGAAAUGGGAUGGGUUCAGGUUUUAAAAAAAAACCCGAAUUGGGUUCGGGGCGGGAUCGGGUUUAGUAACAAUAUGCCCCGCCCCGCCCCGAAUAUGAAAUUACAAGUUUACCCCCACCUAUAAAUAUUUGCUUCCUAUCCUUUCUGGUCUUCCUCUCCCGUUUUAGGUUUUUUUUCUCUCGUUUUAAGGUUCUCGUUCCUGGGGUUGUUGAUGAGAACACAAGUGAUGAUGGAGACGGAGCUGUCCCGAAUCACCUGAGACGACCUCAUCAUACUAGAUUGCCUCGACCCCUUUCUAUACCAGUUUCCAGUGUGAAGAAAUGGCUUCCGCAAAUCCCUCCCAUCCUCGUUCUCGUCCCUGAAACUCAUCCCUAAUAUGCAAUCAGCAACUCAAGUGUUCGUCAAAAUGCUAAAAGAUGGUGUGUUUUGGACAGUUGGAGUACUCAAUGCAGAAAUCCAUCAAUAAUCCACCCGAAACUGCCAUUUUCUCCAUGGGAAUCAUUUUAGGUAUUUUUUUUUUUGGAAUUUUGAUUUUUUGGUUUUGGGUGUUUUUUUGUCAGUUUUUGGGCAAAAGAUGAGAGAUUUGAAUGUUGAUUUGUUUGGUUUGGGGUGUUUUUUUUGUCAAUUUCUGGGCAAAAGAUGAGAAAUUUGUUGGUGAUAUUUGGGAUUGUCCAGAUUUGUAAUCUGGUGGCAACAAGGUGGUCUUUUUGCUAAUUUAUUUUCCUCAUUUCAGCAAUUUGUAACUCAUUGUUUUCACCUGUUUUUGGGCAACUCGGGUCGGAAUGGCUGGGGAUGGAAUUUUGAUUAUUAUUUCAAAACGGGGAUGAGAUUACAUACCCCGCCCCGCCCCGGGUUUGGGACGGGGAUGAGAUUUGUUUUGAAUAAACGGGACGAGGUUGGGAUGAGGGCGACCCGUCCCGUUGCCAUUCCUAGUUGAAAUUUGAAUAUAUUGGUAUUUUUGAAACUUUGAUAUUUGAUGAGAAAAAAAAAUGAUAUCUUCUAUUUGAAAUGAAAAUAUUUGAUCCAUGAACUGCAUUAAUAUUCCUUAUUGGGCUGUGAGCUCAUUCCCAAUUGUUGAAAAUUUUUCAGGUACCUUUAAUUCGGGCGAGGAGUGAUGACUAGGCGGGAAAGUUGGUCAUCAUUAGGAUUUUUCUUAGGAUGUUAUUUUUUAACAUUGUUAGCUUAUAAGUUUAUGUUCAUUUGGUUUAUUUAGUUUUUGGAAGCUAUUUAGAUAUUGAGCUUUUAAAUUUUUUUUUUUAUGAUAGAUUGAAGUUGAGAUUUGGAGAUUAUAAAAAUUCGUUAGUACUUGAUUUGUUGAGUUGCAAUCUAUUUGGAUAAUGGAUUUUGGUUGAUGGAUGCUUAGUUCUAAAGUUAAAUUUGGAGAUUUUAGAAUUUUGUUCUACUACUCUGAACAGGUUUUUGAUAAUUGGUUACUUCCAAUUACAAUAUGAUUAUUUGGAUCAGGUUAUACUUUAAGCCUUCGGGUUUGAGGUGUAAAAUGACCGUCACGCCCUUGGAGUGGGUCUUGGGGCGUGACAAGUAGACCACCUUCUGGUUGAAAUUUUGAUGUUACCUAUAACUCAUAAGUAGGAUUUAAGCAGCCCAUCAAUAAUCUUAUGGCCAUCCAAAACAGGCAGUGGCAGACCUGUGGCCCAGCCACUGGUGAGUCGAAAUCUCCUUUCCACUGACUUUCCUUUCAAUAUAUCUUCUAGGAAAAUUCUACAGCCCUGUGUGGUAGCAAUAGAAGAACAUCUUCCAUUCUUCCCUUUCUUCCAUUCUUUCCCUUUACAUUCAUCAUCGCAGCUGUCCUGGAAGAUAUCCAACUCAUAGAGUUAAUCAAACAUAAAAAAAUUAUUUUCUUUUUUUUUUCUUUUUUUGAUUUGUUUAUAGAUGAUUUUUUACUUUUAUUUUUAUGGUUAUUGGUUUCUUCGAUGAUGAUUUUUUACGAUAUAUAAAUCCAUUUUAACUUUGUUGUUAGAUGGAUUAAUUUUUAAUUUUUAAUCUUAUUUAGACAAUUUAUCUUUAAAUAAUAGAAUUGGUUGUUAUAAUUCUUAUCAUUUUUAUUAAAUUCUAAUUCUAAUUCAAUAAAAUAAAUACGGUCAAAAAUUUGAAAUUGACGGGUUGCGAACUUUUAUUAUAAUUGUCUUGACUGAUUUACAUUCUCUAGAGGUAAGACACGAAAGAGUUGUUUUCGAUACCAUACUAUUAAUGUUUGACCCAUUUGUUCAUUUAUCAUUUUUCAAAGGGAGAAUUACCAAAGAUGGUGGGCUCCAUACUGCUAAUGUUUGACCCGUUUGUUCAUAUCUCAUUUUUCAAAAGGAGAAUUAUCAAAUAUGAUGGGCUCUGAUUGAUAAUGAGUCAUCAACUUGAUAAUCUUUCAUAUGCUUCAAAAUAUAAAAACUCAAAUAUACCCUUAUGUCUUUUAUUUUAAAGUCAAGCAUAUCCUUAUUUGGCCUUUUCCCUAUUUUGUAUUUUAUUUAUUUUAUUUUAUUUUUUAAUUAUUAUUUUUAAAAUAUGAAUAAUAAUCAUAAAAAUAAAUAAUAUUAGUAAGAAUGAUAUUAAUAAAUAACAUGAAUAAUUCAAAAUAUUAAUAUUAUAAAUAAUAAUAUUAACAUUAAUAAUAAUAACAAUGUGUAAAAAAGUAUAAAAGAAAAACAAUAAAAAGAAAAGUAAAAUUAAAUGAGAAUAAUAGGGAAAAUGCAAAAAUAAUAAUAAUAAUAAGGUACAAUUAGAAUUCCGAAAUUAUCAACUUUUGAAAGCUCUUGAUAGGAAUUUGUAAACAUGGUGACCCUUUUGGGUCAUUAUCACUGGUAGCUUACCCUAAACGGGAAUUCUUCUUUUUUGAAAUUCAUGUUGGACCUUUUCGCUAGAUACAAUUUAAUAAUUGGAAGAAUACCACAUGCAUUUUUUGUAUAGAAGGAGGUCCUCUUAGGAUACAACAUUGUUUAAAAUCAUUUAUAUAACUACAAUUUUUUUACCAAUAUCUUAUUAAAAAAAUGGAAAAUAACAAAAAUCCCCCAUUAGGCCCACAUUACUUCUUUGUAUGCUGGCACAAAGUCACUUAUGGGUGGAGGAAAAACAUAAGAGAUUUAUUUUUUCAACCAAAUUUAAUAUUAAGGUGGUUUUACCUUUUUUUUUUUUUUACUUAAUUUUAAUUUGAAUUUAAAACUAAAUAGUAUUUAAUAACAUUAACUAGUAAGUUAUUUUUAAAAAGAUUUUAUUUUUAUUAAAUAUUUAAGAAGUAAAAGAAAACCUAUAAAUUACUUUUAGCAUCCAGAAAAGUCAAAUAUCAUUUUUUAUAAUAAAAAAAAUUAAAAAAUAAGUAAUAUAUUAACAAAAUGUACAAAAACAAACUAUUUGAAAUCUAAAACAAAAAUAUUUUUCUAUAAAAAAAAUUUAAAAACAAACAGCACCUAAUUUUUCAUAAUCAUCUUUACAUUCUUUUCUUUAAAAGAGAUUUGUGUUCAAAUCCAACUCUACUAUUUAUUCUUGAGUGUCCAUCAAUGCUUGGUGGUACAGUGAUUUCACAUUUUCCUUUAGGGGGUGUUUGGUACAUGGGAAUAGGGAGUGAGAAUAGACAUCUUAUUCCUUUUCUACCUUAUUCCUAUGUUUGGAUAAAUAUUAAGAAGACGAAAAUGGAAUAAAAAAUUAUUCAGGCAGAAAUCAAAUCCAACUUAUAACUCGGAUUUGCAUUCAUCAAAAGUAGGUGGUAUUCUGAUUCAUUAAACUCAUUUGAUAAUAUAAAAUAACCUAAAUUACUAUUUUACGCUCUUAUCUCAUUCUUCAAGCCUGAUGUUUAUUUUUUUUGUAAAGGUAGAGAUUCAUUCAUCAUCUACUUCUUAUCUUCUUUGCAAAGUUAGAGACCCACUCAUCAUCCAAUUCUUUGCAACAAGUGAUUCUUCCAAAUUGAAUUAAUCAAACCUUCCACGACAUUUAGAAAAUUCAAUUUCUUAGUAAAAUAUAAUUCUAUAGCUUUUUUUGCAUGACAAAUUAUUUAAAAUUUUGAUUAAAAAAUGAAUAUUUAAAAAUUUUUAAGGUUAUAGAUUUUAUCGGAUAUGAUAUUUGUUGAAAAUUAGAAUAAAUUUGAAUUCUUUUAUUUUCUUUUUUGGAAAUAGGAAAAAUAUUUGCUAGUUUUAAGAAUUUAAAUAUUAUAAUAAAUGAGGUAUUUGUCAAGUUCUUGAAAAUCAAUUUAAUAAGUUUAGAAAAUCAUUUGAACGAUAGAUGCAUGUCUUUUCUGGUUGGCUUCCGGGUCAAUCUUCUACUGCAAGCCCCACUAAGGAAUAUAAACGUUUUUGCCACGAUGUAAGCUUUGUUUGUAACGAUGCCUUUUCAUUUUAAGCUAUGGGGAUGAGGGUAGACUUCAAAUUCCUCAUCCACAUCCUGAACUCCCUCAGAUUUCUUGGCAACCAAAUGGAUUUUAUUGAAAUCAUGUCCAAUAAGAAAAGAAGGUUUUACGAGUACUCAACGUAAACCUUCGAUUAUAAUAUUUCUUCUCUUAAAAAAAAUGUUAGAUGAUGUCACAGCAUAAAAGGCAAAAAAAUUCUGCAGCUGCUUUCCUUCCUCACUUUCCCUCUUGCCUACAUGUUAAUUAGUACUUAUGCUUAGCUGUAGCAUGUGCAGAAGCUCGUCUUUCCUAGUACUAGUUGAAUAUUUUCUGUAGCUCUGACGGUUGUAUUUUACACUCUGGAUUGGCAAUGCAUAAAAGCAGAUUCAGUAGCAAUUAAGAUGGGAAGAUGAGAUACAAUAUUUUGAAAAAAUAAAAACUAUCUUGAUAAAUUAAUGAUUUAUUAAUUAAUACACAAUUAAUAUUCACUUAAUUAAUUGAUUUUCCUUGUUCCCAAGCUAUUAAUUUAUGGACGAUUAGUUGUAUCUUAAAAGAAAAAAAGAAAAAAGAAAUCUCAAAAUGGUCUAAGACUUAAAUGCAUCUUCCCUGGAUAAGCAUAAUUCAAUGUAGCAGGUAGCAGAACUUGACCGUCAUUUUCAUCAAAGUCUUCCCUAAUUUCUGUGGUUGAAUAGAUUAAACAACAUUAGAGUGGCAGGAAAUGAUCCUUUUCAUGCUGAUGAAUUGAUAGAAGAAAUCAGAUACCUGAUUUUCCCCAGCUGGGUCUGCUGCUUUUCUUUCCCUCAAAGUCUUGGAACCUCCCAUGCACUGUAUUUUGGAGAACCAUUCAGAAAUGUUUUCAGAUUUUCUGUCUCCAGAGGCCAUUGGAAAAAAAAAAAAAAAACUCAUUCAAUGCAGAGACCAACUACCAUUCAAAGCAAGGUGUAGUAGUUUUGAAAGACCUUUUGUUAGGAUUCCCUUCUAGAUAUAUUUCCUUCUAUGACUUUUCCAAUUUGUAUCGGACCUUUCUUCAAUCUAGACCAUGCCCAGAAUGAGAAGAAUUAUGGAAAGAACACUAAAUUCAUGUACUUAAGGCCCCACUGGAAUUAGAUUUUCUAUGCUGGACGGCAAAAUAAUUAUCUACUUUUUGACUUGCUAUAUGUUAUCUCUCCUAAAAUAUUCAAUGAAACUGAUUCCCAAGCCAAGCGCAGGGUCCCAUAAAUGACCAUUAUUUCACCCAUUUUGCUUUUGAAGUCUAUGUUGUAGAGAUGAGAGAGGCUCAAUGGGCUCGUUUAGCCCUACUUGAGCUUGAGCUUGAGCUUGAGCUUUCCAUCAUAAACUACAGAAAUUGUAGACUUCAAGUUAUUUCUCUUUUGCAUUUUCCUUAGUUUUCUCAGCAACCAAAGGGGUUUUACUCAAACUAUGUCCAAACAAAUGGGAAGUGUUAUAAGUCACAGGAAACGUUAUACCACAUUUUUUUUCUUCACUAAAAUUGUUUGAUCACUUUGGAUUUGGAAGGCGAAAAAUCUACAUCUGCUUAAUUAAUUCCUCCCUUUCCCUCAUGCCUAUAUGCUGAGUAGCUGAAUUGUCUUCGCUAUUGCUAGUUGAAUGAAGCACUGUAUGAUAUGAAUCUGAACCUGAAGCUAACCCUGCUUCUAUUUACUCCCUGCCCCCAUUAUAGCUAAGUUAAUACCUACACCUGGGUUCUGAUAAUUUCUUUCCCCACUGACAUAUCCAUCAAUUACAGCAUCUUGUCCUCGUACCCCAUUCCCCAUACCAAAAACUGUUUCAAAAUUAUCUUCUUUCAGACGCCGAGUGAAAACUUAAUUCACUUACUAUGCUAAUAUAUAAAAUUACAGGAAAAGAAAAAAAAGUGGAAGGUGGAUAGUUGACUCUCUAUAGAGGGAUUGGCCCUAAAUGCGCCAUUUGUUUUGAGCUCUGAAAAUUGUCCUCCACUCUUUGGAUUGAUGAGGGAACAGAUCAUAAUCAAAUUAAAUCCAAAUUCAACUGGAUAAAAUCAGACUUCAUAACAAUUUCAGAUAAAAAUAUUAGACACAGGUCUGAAUGAUUAUUGAACUGUUUUGGAAGAAAAAUUCACACAGAUCACGUGUCCAUUUCAAUACAUGAGCUAUGAAUUCGCAAAAACAACGCAAGACAAUAUGCUGAAAUUUAAGCAUAUUAUUUUUUAAGUUCUGAACCAUUAUCGUGCUUGCAUAAUUGAAAGUGUCACACCAUUUAAGGAACAAAUUUCAGGCCUGUUUUGAAAUAUAUGUGGUUCCACCCCACUUCUCAGAUUUGAAAAUGCCGGUUGUUUUGGAGAAGGUAAAUGUACACUUUCAUUGCCAAGCAUUGAGACAACAUCAGACAUGGUAGGCCUGUCAUUUGCACUUUCUUGAACACAAAGAAGGCCUAUAUUGAUGUACUUCAACAGAAUGUGUCUUGGCAAUGUCUCUUCCAACACUGGAUCCAUC